Molecule: ribosomal RNA, 632 nt
Filed under: Streptomyces sp.
Lineage: Bacteria; Bacillati; Actinomycetota; Actinomycetes; Kitasatosporales; Streptomycetaceae
Description: bacterial SSU rRNA
Rfam family: Bacterial small subunit ribosomal RNA
Source: RNAcentral
CUUGUUGGUGAGGUAAUGGCUCACCAAGGCGACGACGGGUAGCCGGCCUGAGAGGGCGACCGGCCACACUGGGACUGAGACACGGCCCAGACUCCUACGGGAGGCAGCAGUGGGGAAUAUUGCACAAUGGGCGAAAGCCUGAUGCAGCGACGCCGCGUGAGGGAUGACGGCCUUCGGGUUGUAAACCUCUUUCAGCAGGGAAGAAGCGAAAGUGACGGUACCUGCAGAAGAAGCGCCGGCUAACUACGUGCCAGCAGCCGCGGUAAUACGUAGGGCGCGAGCGUUGUCCGGAAUUAUUGGGCGUAAAGAGCUCGUAGGCGGCUUGUCACGUCGGUUGUGAAAGCCCGGGGCUUAACCCCGGGUCUGCAGUCGAUACGGGCAGGCUAGAGUUCGGUAGGGGAGAUCGGAAUUCCUGGUGUAGCGGUGAAAUGCGCAGAUAUCAGGAGGAACACCGGUGGCGAAGGCGGAUCUCUGGGCCGAUACUGACGCUGAGGAGCGAAAGCGUGGGGAGCGAACAGGAUUAGAUACCCUGGUAGUCCACGCCGUAAACGGUGGGCACUAGGUGUGGGCGACAUUCCACGUCGUCCGUGCCGCAGCUAACGCAUUAAGUGCCCCGCCUGGGGGAGUACGGA